This 249-nucleotide ribosomal RNA is filed under the name uncultured bacterium. Its description in RNAcentral is "partial 16S ribosomal RNA". It matches the Rfam family "Bacterial small subunit ribosomal RNA", at positions 32 to 292 of the family's 1533-position model. The record is from RNAcentral.
AAUCAACGCUGGCGGCGUGCCUAACACAUGCAAGUCGAACGGGAAACAGGGGCAACUCUGUGAGUACAGUGGCGUACGGGUGAGUAACACGUGACUACCUACCCUCGAGUGGGGGAUAACCCGGAAACCGGGGCUAAUACCGCAUAACAUCGAGAGAUCAAAGGAGAAAUCCGCUUGAGGAGGGGGUCGGCGGCUGAUUAGCUAGUUGGUGAGGUAAUGGCUCACCAAGGCGAUGANCGGUAGCCGGCC